Molecule: ribosomal RNA, 478 nt
Filed under: Salmonella enterica subsp. enterica
Lineage: Bacteria; Pseudomonadati; Pseudomonadota; Gammaproteobacteria; Enterobacterales; Enterobacteriaceae
Description: partial 23S ribosomal RNA
Rfam family: Bacterial large subunit ribosomal RNA
Source: RNAcentral
AAUCCAUAGGUUAAUGAGGCGAACCGGGGGAACUGAAACAUCUAAGUACCCCGAGGAAAAGAAAUCAACCGAGAUUCCCCCAGUAGCGGCGAGCGAACGGGGAGGAGCCCAGAGCCUGAAUCAGCAUGUGUGUUAGUGGAAGCGUCUGGAAAGGCGCGCGAUACAGGGUGACAGCCCCGUACACAAAAGCGCAUGUGUUGUGAGCUCGAUGAGUAGGGCGGGACACGUGGUAUCCUGUCUGAAUAUGGGGGGACCAUCCUCCAAGGCUAAAUACUCCUGACUGACCGAUAGUGAACCAGUACCGUGAGGGAAAGGCGAAAAGAACCCCGGCGAGGGGAGUGAAAAAGAACCUGAAACCGUGUACGUACAAGCAGUGGGAGCACAGGUUUACCUGUGUGACUGCGUACCUUUUGUAUAAUGGGUCAGCGACUUAUAUUCUGUAGCAAGGUUAACCGUAUAGGGGAGCCGGAGGGAAACC